GGUAGAUAGGUUGGAGGUGGAAGUGCAGCAAUGCAUGGAGCUGACCAAUACUAAUCGGUCGAGGGCUUAUCCAA
RNAcentral lists this ribosomal RNA (74 nucleotides) under Paenibacillus glucanolyticus. RNAcentral's name for it is "partial 23S ribosomal RNA". It matches the Rfam family "Bacterial large subunit ribosomal RNA", at positions 2851 to 2925 of the family's 2925-position model. Lineage: Bacteria; Bacillati; Bacillota; Bacilli; Caryophanales; Paenibacillaceae. RNAcentral also lists the same sequence under 1 other name. The record is from RNAcentral.